This 213-nucleotide unclassified non-coding RNA is filed under the name uncultured Umbelopsidomycetes. RNAcentral describes it as "sequence contains ITS2". Lineage: Eukaryota; Fungi; Mucoromycota; Umbelopsidomycetes. The record is from RNAcentral.
AAAUCUCAUAAAUAAAUCAUUUUUGUUUAAACAUUUUUGUUUGUUUGUGGACUUGGAUUUGCGAUUUUACAAAUUGCUGAUCUAAAAUGAAUUUCAUGAAGCUUAUAUAUUGCUUUGUUCCUUUGCUUAAUAGUUUUGCUUUGUCAAAUCUUUUGCAAUUGUUUACAAAUGCGCAAAAAGUGAAUUGAUUUUUUACGAAUCUAUAAUCUCAUU